GCUCCUGUAGCUCAGUGGCUGAGCAUUUGUUUUGAAUGCAAAGGUCCAAGGUCCAAUUCCUGCCAUCGUUGGUAGCG
Non-coding RNA from Podarcis lilfordi (Lilford's wall lizard), 77 nucleotides. The record is from the annotation of a GenBank genome assembly. NCBI's taxonomy places the organism in Eukaryota, Metazoa, Chordata, Lepidosauria, Squamata, Lacertidae.